Molecule: long non-coding RNA, 1253 nt
Filed under: Urocitellus parryii (Arctic ground squirrel)
Lineage: Eukaryota; Metazoa; Chordata; Mammalia; Rodentia; Sciuridae
Description: lncRNA (ENSUPAG00010019915.1)
Source: RNAcentral
CGGAUGAUCACUACUUGCAUGCAUGCGAAGGUGGAAAAAUCAAACAGGGCUUGCUGGCCCUGUAGAAUUACUAUGGAACUCUGAAAGGAAGAUAUUUGUCUUCCUAAGGGAAAAGACUGUGGGUUUUGGUCUACCCGAGUGGAACAGAAAAAUAAACGACAAGAGCUUUUGGAACCAACAUCAUGGCACUGAGAAUGGAACUAUUGCAUUGGAGAGAGUUGUUCAUGCAUACCAACAAGAGAAUAAAGGUGAUGUGGUUGAAGUUUGUGGAGCAGAAAAAGGAUGAAAAGAAGGAUGAGGAGAAGAUGAAGACGGAGAAAAGAAGAAAGAAGUGGAGGAAAUGAAAGGAGGGAAACACAGGAUAAAACAGCAAGAGGUGGUGGAGGAGGAGGAGGGAAGACAGGAGCAAGAAUUGCUCUCUGCUGAACAAUCUGAAUUUUAAAACAAAAUAUUUGUUGGAAGAAUUAAAUCCAAGCUUCAUAGUGAGCUGAAUCUGUUCAUGGAGCUCAUUGUUUCUGAGAAGGAGGAGGUAAAAACAUGUAUGCUGUGUAAUAUUUCUUAUGAAACAAUUGCUCUUCUUUAGAAAAAGAGCAGAGGAUUCAGAUGCUCCACAAAACUUAGAAAUACCAUAUGUAUAUUUCAUAGUUCUGAAAAAUUAGAUUAAAAAUGACUACUUUGAAAUAAGGCUAGAAGUUAGGCAGUCUUAAASAGACAGAGGAACAAACAAUACAGGCACAGAUGAAUUUGUGUAUAGAUUUUUAAAAAUUUAUUUUAACUUACAAUCCUAUUAAAAAGGAAGUAGUUGCAUGUUUGGUAUGUUGCUCUAGAGAGCCCAAACACCACAGUUCCCCACAAUUCUCAGUUUACAACACCACAAGACAAACCACACAUGCCAUUCUUUAUUUGUUUCCUGGGAAGAUGUUUCAUACAAAAACACAAAGUAUGUAUAUUUGCAUGCUGCCCCACCUCAUUGUGAAAGCAUGUUCUGAAUUAGAGAGUGACUCAUUUUUAUUCCAUUUGUCAUAUUUAAUCUUUUCUAAUUAAACAUUGUUUACUAGAUCAAGAGUGAUGGGACGUUCUUAAAACAACAAAAAGGAGCUUUCUAAUCGGACUUGGUUACAUGCCCAGGCCAGGGGAGUGACACGAUUUCUUGCAGAAGACGAUUCAGAUUUUAAAACUAGUGAAAUAUACUGGCUUUCUUGGCAACUCAAACAGGAAACCAGACAAGCAAUAAAACUACAGGAAACACAUCA